CCGGGUCACAAACCAAAACCAAGGAAAAUGCAUCAACUAUAAGAGGAACACAACGAUAUAACAGAAACACUGAACAGCUUCAAAAACAAACGCCAACAUACAAAGAAACAGAUUAAUGGAUACCAACUGUCAUAUGCCUGACUUGGUACAGGACAUUUGAAGAAAAAUGGUGGUUCGAAUAUGGUUUUAAACCAGAGUUAAAAUGCAAAAUUGAAAUUAUCCCUUAGAACAUUUUAUGGACGCCACUACUAGUUGGUUGACAAUUAUGAAAUAUCUAUUUUGCCAGAUGACGACUGAUAAGUUCCAAUCGACGUACCCAAAAUACCGUCAUCUCUGCCUUGAUUGUCACCUACCGAAUAAGGCUUGGCACCG
RNAcentral lists this long non-coding RNA (372 nucleotides) under Mytilus galloprovincialis (Mediterranean mussel). The record is from RNAcentral. Lineage: Eukaryota; Metazoa; Mollusca; Bivalvia; Mytilida; Mytilidae.